This 91-nucleotide transfer RNA is filed under the name Streptococcus pneumoniae. RNAcentral describes it as "tRNA-Leu". It matches the Rfam family "tRNA". From Rfam's summary of the family: Transfer RNA (tRNA) molecules are approximately 80 nucleotides in length. Their secondary structure includes four short double-helical elements and three loops (D, anti-codon, and T loops). RNAcentral also lists the same sequence under 8 other names. The record is from RNAcentral. Lineage: Bacteria; Bacillati; Bacillota; Bacilli; Lactobacillales; Streptococcaceae.
UGCGGGGAUGGCGGAAUUGGCAGACGCGCAGGACUAAGGAUCCUGUGACCGCUUUAGGUCGUGAGGGUUCAAGUCCCUCUCUCCGCAUAGG